This 485-nucleotide ribosomal RNA is filed under the name Aquipseudomonas alcaligenes. RNAcentral describes it as "bacterial SSU rRNA". It matches the Rfam family "Bacterial small subunit ribosomal RNA", at positions 229 to 706 of the family's 1533-position model. Lineage: Bacteria; Pseudomonadati; Pseudomonadota; Gammaproteobacteria; Pseudomonadales; Pseudomonadaceae. The record is from RNAcentral.
GCCUAGGUCGGAUUAGCUAGUAGGUGAGGUAAAGGCUCACCUAGGCGACGAUCCGUAACUGGUCUGAGAGGAUGAUCAGUCACACUGGAACUGAGACACGGUCCAGACUCCUACGGGAGGCAGCAGUGGGGAAUAUUGGACAAUGGGCGAAAGCCUGAUCCAGCCAUGCCGCGUGUGUGAAGAAGGUCUUCGGAUUGUAAAGCACUUUAAGUUGGGAGGAAGGGCAGUAAGUUAAUACCUUGCUGUUUUGACGUUACCAACAGAAUAAGCACCGGCUAACUUCGUGCCAGCAGCCGCGGUAAUACGAAGGGUGCAAGCGUUAAUCGGAAUUACUGGGCGUAAAGCGCGCGUAGGUGGUUCAGCAAGUUGGAGGUGAAAUCCCCGGGCUCAACCUGGGAACUGCCUCCAAAACUACUGAGCUAGAGUACGGUAGAGGGUAGUGGAAUUUCCUGUGUAGCGGUGAAAUGCGUAGAUAUAGGAAGGAA